AAAAUAUAUUAAAAUUAACUUAAAUUAUUUAUAUUUUAAUCUAUUUUUAACUGUUUUUUUACUAUUAUAUAUUUGGUCAAAAAAUGGGCAAAACACGUUAGGCCCGUUAGGGGUUCGGUUUUUUGGUUUGUUUGAACAGUUUUUAUAAAUUUUUUAAAAAACAAUUUUUGCAUAAUAAAAUACUGAAAAUCCAACUUUUUAACUUAAUUUGACUUUUAUCCAAUGUAUAUAUAACUAGUUAUAUACAUUGCUUUUAUUUCACCUGUUUGGAAUUCGGUGGUUCCCCACAUUUUGCUGUUAUUGUUUUUUUACUUUCUUCAAUUUCGAAGCACCAGGCGUCGGGUUAGCUGCAUUUGAUUGCAGUUGUACAAAGCCGAGGAACCGGACCCACAGUGACCCACGUUUUUUGUCACCCCAAAAAUACCCUAACCAACAACUAACCGAGCCUCGUGCUCUCUUUUUCAUCCCCAUAUCUAAACAUCAUUCUGAUUAAUGAUUUUUUUGAUAAAAUGUUAACUGUUAAUUCCAACUACGGUUGGCUUGCCGCGAAAUUGUAUUCCUGAACUUACAAUUCGGACCUUAUUUUUCCACUUAAACCCAUUAUGUCAUCGUGUUGUUAAAAUCUCGCACGGAAUACAUGGUAAA
Ciona intestinalis (vase tunicate) is the source of this 645-nucleotide non-coding RNA. The record is from RefSeq and is a predicted model, not a curated record. NCBI's taxonomy places the organism in Eukaryota, Metazoa, Chordata, Ascidiacea, Phlebobranchia, Cionidae.